CCCACAUCAUGCUAAUUUAAUCAGACCAUCUUAUUACAUUUUAAUCAAAUGUCCAACAAAAGAAACAGAAUCAAUACUUAAAAUGUCACAACCCAAUUUCCAAACCCGAUCGUGAUGGCAUCUCUCGUGAAUACAAGGCCAGCCAAUUCACCCUAAUCGUUCUUUUAACAAUUAUUAAACAUGAAUGACUUCUUAUUAUGAUUUAAAAACAACAAGUAGCGGAAAUACAACCCAAAUCGGGAUGUCACUAGUCACGAGCAUCUAUAGAAUCCUAGCACUAUUAUAGACCAGUAGUAUACAUAUUGGAAUUCAAUAACAACGGAAGGAAUACGGUGCCGUGAACGAUGACGGUCCCCUGGCAUAGCUACGAUAGCAAGAUCUCCAGUCGGCUCGAAACCCGCUACCGGGUGAACAAUUACCUGCAUCUGCACAUGAGGAGCAGGGAAUAAAGUGAGUACUCCAACUCAGUGAGUAAUAAGGGUAAAUAAUAGUUGAGCAGCAAUAAACCACGUAAAGCAAAUCAACAUGCUAUAUAGUACAGUGUAACUCUUUGAGAAAACAGAGAAAACGUGAAAAUCCUAUAGAAAAUACCUUGACUUAAUUCAAAACCUCUUUUGAAACUAUCUUUUUCCAACAGUUAAGCAAUUGAAUGCGGAACAGGUAGUCCAAAUCAACACAAAAGUCAUCCCCCCGGGCACAAACAAGUAUGCAUAAUUGAGUUCAUAAAAAUGCGGAACAGGUGGUGCAAGUCAGCAUAAAAGUCAACCCCUCAGGCAAAAACAAGUAUGCAUAAUUUAGCUCAUAAACUUGCCAUUCAGGCAAUAAUCUUGUUCCUGGUCAGUCAUUGUUAUCUGUGCCGUUUACAUCAUCCAGUGUCACUGUUACCGCUAUCUCAAAUUUAUCCUCUUUAAAAAUGAUCAGACAUUAUCAAAACAACAAAUAAAUAUCUCAAGAAAUAACAGAAAACAACGAGUAGUGCACAAAUAUAUGAAUACAAUGCAUAUGACGGAACACUCCGGUACCACUGCGGAAUGCAGUCCGAUCCAUUUAACGACGACGAUACUCACUAGGGGUGUGUAUAGACUCCUGAGGGGCUCCUAUAGCCCAAACGCAAUAUCAGCCAUGUCGUGGCAUCAAACACGCUCUCGGCCUCAAUAUCAAUAUAUCAUCGUUACGAUGUGCAGCCCGAUCCAUGUCAACAGAAACAUCCUCAUUAUAGGGUCCUCGUCCCAUCUCAGUCAAAUAAGUAUAUCAUCGUUGCGGCGUGCAUCCCGAGCCAUUCAUAUAUUUAGAAAUUACUAUAACCCUAUCGCGGUAUGCAGCCCGAUCCAUGCUCAGUCUAGAAAUGCACAUAAGCCACUUUGGCAAUAUUAACAUGAUAAUCCUCAGCGCAAAACAUCAAUAAAAUAUUGUUUGAAUUUUCAAAUCUGAGAAAAAUGGCUGAGUUUACAAAGCGGUAUUAAAAUCUUGAACCAAGAUCAAAUAAUAUGCAAGUAAUGCAAAAACAGUAAUAUAAAUCCCCGAAGGGUUCAUAUAGUUGGCCUAAAGCCCCAAACAUGAUAAUCAGCCCAAAUUAUAAUGAUAACAAAUAAUUUCAGUCAAAUACAUGAUAAAAAUCAACAAUCGGGACAGACCAAGUCCCAGUCCCCAACGGUACUUUACCCCGCGCCCAUAUCCGGCGUGCAAGUCACCUCAAUACAACACUAUGAUGUGCAAAUUCGGGGUUUCAAACCCUCAAAAUAUCAUUUAUAAGUAUUACUCACCUCGAACCGGUAAAAUCUCUAGCCCGCGACGCCUCUGCCCCUCAAAUCGGCCUCCACGCGCGUCGAAUCUAACUGCAUACAUCACAAUAUGCUAAGGGAACAAUACCCUAUCAAAAACAAUCGUGAAAUAGCAAAAAUCUCGAAACUAGCAAAACCCGAGCCUCGGGCCUACUUCUCGAAAAUUACGAAACUCACAUUACCGGAUUCCUCGUCUUGCCACGAGUCCAUACAUACCAAUAACUCCCAAAUCCAAGCUCGAAUGACCUAUCAAAUCCCAAUUUGGAAUAUCAAAAAGUCAAGGCCUAGUUCAUAAAUUUUAGGCUCAUUUUCCAUAAAUCUCUAUACCAAUUUCACAAUAUAAUCAUGUUUUUAGUUCGUAGAACUUACUUCCAGUCAAUCCCUUCGAAACCCUCUUCAAUUGCUCCCAAAAAGCUCUCAAGGUGCUCAAAAAUGGAGGAAAAUAGCCCGCAAGUCGCAGAUGAAAUGUCAUUUUGAACCCCUUCUGCGAACAGUCAUUCUUCGCUUCUGCGGUCCCGCUACCGCUUAUGCGGGACCGCUUCUGCGACCAUAACUCCGCUUAUGUGGUUUCUCAUUAAAACCCCAUCAACCGCUUCUGCAAAAAUCAUUUCUGCUUCUGCGGAUUCAUCAUCUCCAGGCCAAACCGCUUCUGCGACCUCACGUCCGCUUCUGCUGACUUGCUUAGGCGAAAAGAGUUCCGCUUCUGCGGAACUACCCAGCUCCACAUCAGACCGCUUAUGAGAGCAAUCACUCACUUUCAUGGAGCCGCUUCUGCGGUCCAUUUUCGCAGAAGCGCUCAUACUAGAUACCAGCAAGAUCUGCCACUUCUCAACUUGAGAUUUCAUCCCGAUAGCCAUCCGAAAUUACCCCGAGGCCCCCGGGACCUCGCCAAAAAAAGCCAGCACAUCCUAAGACCCCAUUCAAACUUUAUCAAAUCCUCAAAACACGUCAAACAGUUCUAAAACCAUUAAAUCACAUCAGAUUCAAGCCUAAGUUUCUUCCAAACAUCCGAAAUACGCAUUCGAUCAAAACCCGACCAAAUUAUGUCUGAAUGACCUGAAAAUUUGCACACAUAUCCAAAAUAACCCAACGAAGCUACAACAACUCUCAGAAUUCUAUUCUGACCCUCGGAUCAAAAUCUCACCCAUCAACUGGAAUUUGCCAAAAUACUAAUUCCAACAAUUCAAGUCUAAUUCUACACCGGACCUCCAAAAUCAAUUCCGAUGGCACUCUUAGUCACAAAUCACCUCCCUAAGCUAACCGAAUAACCAAAAAUUACAUUUGAGACCUAUAACUCAUAAGCCAACGUCUCGUUAACUUUUCCAACUUAAGCCUUCCUUAAAGAGAUUAAGUAUCUCAUUUUUUAUCGAAAUCAAUCCAAAUCAACUCUAACGCGCCACAUACCAAUAACGAACAUGAAGAAGCAUAAAAUGGGAAAAUGGAGUAGUAAUACAUGAGACAACGGGUCGGAUCGUAUUAAAAAAUAACUAAAAUCUUCAACAGAAAUUACACAAUUGCUUUCAUUAGAGCUUCAAAUCAAUUUUACACUCCUGGGAGUUCAGAAGUUGUACCUGGAAAGUAGAAGAAGCAAAGUGAAGCAGGCCGGCAGUAGAGAAACAACAACAGUAAAUUUAGCCCAGGAAGUGAUUGAAAAUAUCACAUGAAUCUAAUUUUGGAAUUUAUGGAUGUCACACGAAGCUCAAAACCAAAGUUUCGACAAGAAUACCCCAAAUACACACCUCAGCUCAUUUAAUUGCCCACAACUUGUCAUAAACGAAUAUUACAUAAAAUUUCAGAGAUUCUUUAUGAACAGUAGUAAUUUUGUAUUCCUAUGCUCAAAAUUUUAGAUGAAACAGUAUUUUUGACAAAUUUUCUUCUUGAUUUUUUAGCUCUUAAACUUGCCCUCUAAGGCAAGAAAUGAUGCCUUUUAUAGGCAAGUAACUAGAACAGCCCUUGCAAGUUUUAUUUUGUACUUUAGUCCAUUUUUUAAUCUCAAAAGUCCCUUAUUUAUUAACUUGCUACCCAAGUCACACCACUAUGAAUCUGAAAUUUCAAUGAAAACCCUUUCUUGGUGCUUCUAGUAACUUCUAAUUUAAGUUACUAAAGAUUCCCUAAAUUGAAUUCCCUAGAUUACCCUUUCCAAUUCUGAAAAAUAACAUGUUAAACCAAACCAGCCCCCCUCUUACCCUAGUAACUGGUCAAGAAUAACCAUGGUUAAACAAGAUUUAAUCCUAUUCAGCUAUAACCAAAAGAUCCUAAAAAUUAAACUGAUUAAACAAUCAUGAAAUUAAAUAUAAGGAUCAGUAGACCAACAAUUAGGCGAUUCAAACAAAAAUCAGAUUAUCAACAGUGGUCAUGAAUCAUUUAAUUAUAACCAAACACAAAAUCAAACUAGAAAAGAAAAAAAAAUCAAAACAGAACAAAAUUAAACCAAAACUAUGAUGGAAAAAGAAUCAAUUACAACCCUAGAACUUCUAAAUCAAUUAAUCAUAGAGAACAUUAAUCAGGGAGAGAAUAACAUAUGCGAGGUAAAAAAAAUCAAAAGAAGAAGAAACUUACUGAUUUUUGGGCCUAAAAUUCGAAGAACACAAGCUCUAGUCGGCUGAUUUGAACCUUUGAAGCUCGAACUUAAAUUAAAAUUCUGGACAACUUUGAAGGAAAUCAGUAACAUAUGAGGCAUGAGGGAGGCACAAGGGUCAUACGGUGUUGUUUUGGAGCGAUUUAGAGGUGGCUCUACCACUGGAGCAACUGUGGCGACGCUAGCGUUUUACAAAUUUGAGGAACCCUAGUGGGAUUUGAGGGAGAAUGGUAAGGGAUUCAUAAUGAGUGAGGGGAGAGGGUGGUUUAGUGUUAAUUUGCCGAGGUUUGGAGAAUGUAGGGUUUUGGCCGGAAUUUUGAUUUGAAAUUCGAGACGAUGGGUCAGGUUUUGAGGGAAGGGGGUUGUGAAUUUGAAAUGAGGAGGAGAAGACGAUUCAGG
This 4758-nucleotide long non-coding RNA is filed under the name Nicotiana benthamiana. RNAcentral describes it as "long non-coding RNA (NBEN_LNC011707)". The record is from RNAcentral. Lineage: Eukaryota; Viridiplantae; Streptophyta; Magnoliopsida; Solanales; Solanaceae.